AAAAAGGGCCUCUGUCGGUGAGUGGCACAUGUAGAGCAGCCUGAUCAAGAGAUUUUGGGAGCAUAAUUUUUUGGUACUUGGGCAGCUGGUGAUCAUUGGUCCUGGCGCCCGC
RNAcentral lists this small nuclear RNA (112 nucleotides) under Myotis davidii. RNAcentral describes it as "U11 spliceosomal RNA". It matches the Rfam family "U11 spliceosomal RNA". Lineage: Eukaryota; Metazoa; Chordata; Mammalia; Chiroptera; Vespertilionidae. The record is from Rfam by way of RNAcentral.